Perognathus longimembris pacificus (Pacific pocket mouse) is the source of this 899-nucleotide long non-coding RNA. RefSeq lists it as uncharacterized. NCBI's taxonomy places the organism in Eukaryota, Metazoa, Chordata, Mammalia, Rodentia, Heteromyidae. The transcript has 4 exons. The record is from RefSeq and is a predicted model, not a curated record.
ACUUCUCCCUGAUGAGGACUUGGAAAUGGAUUUCAACAUUCCCAAAAGCUCAAGAUUACCUGAUAUAAUUUAACCUAGAAAAUGGACCAUUUGUCCUUCUGGCAACAGAAACCCCAGAAGCCUAUUCUCCUGUGGACUGUGGCUAUGUGGCACCUUCAACAGGCAAUCUCUGGACAAAGGCAUGCUCAUGUCUGUAACAUCAGAAUCAGCCCACCAUCUUGACAUCUGACUUCUGCAUUUCUCUUAUGGGACAACUACUAGUUCAAAGGGAAGUCUUGUCACUGUCACCUGCUUUGCUGAAAUUCCAUUCUCACUCUACAGAGCCUUGGCAGGCCUGCUUUGCAUUUAAUCUUGAUUCCCAACAUUUUCCCAAGGCCCUGUCUACCGUGAGAGAUUCUCAGCAUUCCAGGAUUAGCAAAGUAAAGAACCGGAAAUGGCCUGGGGAGAAGAGCAAAUCCAGGCACCAGAUCAGACACAAUCACAGUUGAUUACACUGUACCUGCUCCAACAGCCAUGUAGGAAGAAAUGAAGCAAGGUCACAGCUCACAAGUAGACUACUGAAAUGUUGGCUCAUCUUCAAUCCUCUUCACUUCGUUGUUGGGCCGCAUUGGUUUGUGCGUGGCUUGCUCUCUUCUAGGCAGGACUGGAUGGUUCCAUUUCUCUUCAAGGCCUUCCUAGCUCCAAGCAAUCUGGAUACACCUAAGACUUCCAGCAAGUACAUGGAGUCCUGUUCUAAGUUCCUUAAAAUUGUCCUGUCCCUUGCACUCUGACUCCACUACCUCAAAAAAAAAAACCCUCCAGCUUGUGGAGAGCACGUGUCCUCCAUCCCGGGACCCUAGGGAGCUGGGAGAGGAACCUGGUACUUUGUCCGCCGGUGGCUUCCCCUAGUCCCGCCCACC